Molecule: ribosomal RNA, 254 nt
Filed under: uncultured bacterium
Lineage: Bacteria
Description: partial 16S ribosomal RNA
Rfam family: Bacterial small subunit ribosomal RNA
Source: RNAcentral
UACGUAGGUGGCAAGCGUUAUCCGGAAUUAUUGGGCGUAAAGAGCGCGCAGGUGGUUGAUUAAGUCUGAUGUGAAAGCCCACGGCUUAACCGUGGGAGGGUCAUUGGAAACUGGUCGACUUGAGUGCAGAAGAGGGAAGUGGAAUUCCAUGUGUAGCGGUGAAAUGCGUAGAGAUAUGGAGGAACACCAGUGGCGAAGGCGGCUUCCUGGUCUGUAACUGACACUGAGGCGCGAAAGCGUGGGGAGCAAACAGG